AUUGAACGCUGGCGGCAGGCCUAACACAUGCAAGUCGAACGGUAACAUGAAGAAGCUUGCUUCUUUGCUGACGAGUGGCGGACGGGUGAGUAAUGUCUGGGAAACUGCCUGAUGGAGGGGGAUAACUACUGGAAACGGUAGCUAAUACCGCAUAAUGUCGCAAGACCAAAGAGGGGGACCUUCGGGCCUCUUGCCAUCGGAUGUGCCCAGAUGGGAUUAGCUAGUAGGUGGGGUAACGGCUCACCUAGGCGACGAUCCCUAGCUGGUCUGAGAGGAUGACCAGCCACACUGGAACUGAGACACGGUCCAGACUCCUACGGGAGGCAGCAGUGGGGAAUAUUGCACAAUGGGCGCAAGCCUGAUGCAGCUAUGCCGCGUGUAUGAAGAAGGCCUUCGGGUUGUAAAGUACUUUCAGCGGGGAGGAAGGGAGUAAAGUUAAUACCUUUGCUCAUUGACGUUACCCGCAGAAGAAGCACCGGCUAACUCCGUG
This 490-nucleotide ribosomal RNA is filed under the name uncultured bacterium. RNAcentral describes it as "partial 16S ribosomal RNA". It matches the Rfam family "Bacterial small subunit ribosomal RNA", at positions 30 to 507 of the family's 1533-position model. The record is from RNAcentral.